GCCUAGCUGGCUUAGUCAGUACAGCACGUGACUCUUGAUCUCAGGGUCAUGAGUUCAAGUCCCAUGUGGGGCA
Molecule: transfer RNA, 73 nt
Organism: Felis catus (domestic cat)
Lineage: Eukaryota; Metazoa; Chordata; Mammalia; Carnivora; Felidae
Rfam family: tRNA
About the family: Transfer RNA (tRNA) molecules are approximately 80 nucleotides in length.
Source: Rfam